RNAcentral lists this ribosomal RNA (458 nucleotides) under uncultured bacterium. RNAcentral describes it as "partial 16S ribosomal RNA". It matches the Rfam family "Bacterial small subunit ribosomal RNA", at positions 338 to 795 of the family's 1533-position model. The record is from RNAcentral.
CCUACGGGAGGCUGCAGUGAGGAAUAUUGGUCAAUGGGCGAGAGCCUGAACCAGCCAAGUCGCGUGAGGGAGUACUGCCCUAUGGGUUGUAAACCUCUUUUGUCGGGGAGCAAAAGCCGGACGUGUCCGGCUGUGAGAGUACCCGAAGAAAAAGCAUCGGCUAACCCCGUGCCAGCAGCCGCGGUAAUACGGAGGAUGCGAGCGUUAUCCGGAUUUAUUGGGUUUAAAGGGUGCGCAGGCGGAUUUUUAAGUCAGCGGUAAAAUCGUGGGGCUCAACCCCAUCCAGCCGUUGAAACUGGGGAUCUAGAGUGUGCGAGAGGUAUGCGGAAUGCGUGGUGUAGCGGUGAAAUGCAUAGAUAUCACGCAGAACCCCGAUUGCGAAGGCAGCAUACCGGUGCACAACUGACGCUCAGGCACGAAAGCGUGGGUAUCGAACAGGAUUAGAUACCCCAGUAGUC